GAUGAAGAACGCAGUGAAAUGCGAUAAGUAGUGUGAAUUGCAGAAUUCAGUGAAUCAUCGAAUCUUUGAACGCACAUUGCGCCCCAUGGUAUUCCGUGGGGCAUGCCUGUUCGAGCGUCAUUUACCCCCUCAAGCUCCGCUUGGUGUUGGGCGUCUGUCCCGCUUCGCGCGCGGACUCGCCCCAAAGGUAUUGGCAGCGGUCGUGCCAGCUUCCCGCGCAGCACAUUGCGCUUCUCGAGGCACCGGUGGGCCCGCGUCCAUCAAGCUCACCCCCCCAGUUUGACCUCGGAUCAGGUAGGGAUACCCGCUGAACUUAAGCAUAUCAAUAAGCGGAGGA
Molecule: unclassified non-coding RNA, 337 nt
Filed under: soil metagenome
Description: partial contains 5.8S ribosomal RNA, internal transcribed spacer 2, and large subunit ribosomal RNA
Rfam family: 5.8S ribosomal RNA (bases 1-120)
Source: RNAcentral